This 473-nucleotide ribosomal RNA is filed under the name uncultured organism. Its description in RNAcentral is "partial 16S ribosomal RNA". It matches the Rfam family "Bacterial small subunit ribosomal RNA", at positions 333 to 797 of the family's 1533-position model. The record is from RNAcentral.
ACACUCCUACGGGAGGCAGCAGUGGGGAAUUUUGGACAAUGGGCGAAAGCCUGAUCCAGCAAUGCCGCGUGAGUGAAGAAGGCCUUCGGGUUGUAAAGCUCUUUUGUCAGGGAAGAAACGGUGAAAGCUAAUAUCUUUUGCUAAUGACGGUACCUGAAGAAUAAGCACCGGCUAACUACGUGCCAGCAGCCGCGGUAAUACGUAGGGUGCAAGCGUUAAUCGGAAUUACUGGGCGUAAAGCGUGCGCAGGCGGUUUUGUAAGUCUGAUGUGAAAUCCCCGGGCUCAACCUGGGAAUUGCAUUGGAGACUGGAAGGCUAGAAUCUGGCAGAGGGGGGUAGAAUUCCACGUGUAGCAGUGAAAUGCGUAGAUAUGUGGAGGAACACCGAUGGCGAAGGCAGCCCCCUGGGUCAAGAUUGACGCUCAUGCACGAAAGCGUGGGGAGCAAACAGGAUUAGAUACCCUAGUAGUCCCA